RNAcentral lists this ribosomal RNA (253 nucleotides) under uncultured bacterium. Its description in RNAcentral is "partial 16S ribosomal RNA". It matches the Rfam family "Bacterial small subunit ribosomal RNA", at positions 524 to 776 of the family's 1533-position model. The record is from RNAcentral.
UACGAAGGGGGCUAGCGUUGCUCGGAAUCACUGGGCGUAAAGCGCACGUAGGCGGAUUGCUAAGUCAGGGGUGAAAUCCUGGAGCUCAACUCCAGAACUGCCUUUAAUACUGGCGACCUUGAGUCCGGGAGAGGUGAGUGGAACUGCGAGUGUAGAGGUGAAAUUCGUAGAUAUUCGCAAGAACACCAGUGGCGAAGGCGGCUCACUGGCCCGGUACUGACGCUGAGGUGCGAAAGCGUGGGGAGCAAACAGG